GAGUAUGCAGCUUAGUGGCCUUAAUUUUGCAAAAGUUAUUGAGAAGUUUGUUUCCAUACUCU
RNAcentral lists this transfer RNA (62 nucleotides) under Drepanidotaenia lanceolata. RNAcentral's name for it is "tRNA-Cys". The record is from RNAcentral. Lineage: Eukaryota; Metazoa; Platyhelminthes; Cestoda; Cyclophyllidea; Hymenolepididae.